Molecule: ribosomal RNA, 253 nt
Filed under: uncultured bacterium
Lineage: Bacteria
Description: partial 16S ribosomal RNA
Rfam family: Bacterial small subunit ribosomal RNA
Source: RNAcentral
UACGAAGGGGGCUAGCGUUGUUCGGAAUUACUGGGCGUAAAGCGCAUGUAGGCGGCUAUUCAAGUCGGGGGUGAAAUCCUGAGGCUCAACCUCAGAACUGCCUUCGAUACUGUUUAGCUUGAGUGUGGAAGAGGUUGGUGGAACUGCAAGUGUAGAGGUGAAAUUCGUAGAUAUUUGCAAGAACACCGGUGGCGAAGGCGGCGACCUGGGUAGAUACUGACGCUGAGGCGCGAAAGCGUGGGGAGCAAACAGG